Molecule: ribosomal RNA, 253 nt
Filed under: uncultured bacterium
Lineage: Bacteria
Description: partial 16S ribosomal RNA
Rfam family: Bacterial small subunit ribosomal RNA
Source: RNAcentral
UACAGAGGUGGCAAGCGUUGUUCGGCCUUACUGGGCGUAAAGGGCGCGUAGGCGGCCUUUCAAGUCAGACGUGAAAUCCCCCGGCUUAACCUGGGAACUGCGUCUGAUACUGGGAGGCUCGAGUAUGGGAGAGGGAUGUAGAAUUCCAGGUGUAGCGGUGAAAUGCGUAGAUAUCUGGAGGAAUACCGGUGGCGAAGGCGGCAUCCUGGACCAUAACUGACGCUGAGGCGCGAAAGCUAGGGGAGCAAAUGGG